GAUGAACGCUGGCGGCGUGCCUAAUACAUGCAAGUCGAGCGAACAGACGAGGAGCUUGCUCCUCUGACGUUAGCGGCGGACGGGUGAGUAACACGUGGAUAACCUACCUAUAAGACUGGGAUAACUUCGGGACACCGGAGCUAAUACCGGAUAAUAUAUUGAACCGCAUGGUUCAAUAGUGAAAGACGGUUUUGCUGUCACUUAUAGAUGGAUCCGCGCCGCAUUAGCUAGUUGGUAAGGUCACGGCUUACCAAGGCAACGAUGCGUAGCCGACCUGAGAGGGUGAUCGGCCACACUGGGACUGAAACACGGUCCAGACUGCUACGGGAGGCAGCGGUAGGGAAUCUUCCGCAAUGGGCGAAAGCCUAACGGAGCAACGACGCGUGAGUGAUGAAGGUCUUAGGAUCGUAAAACUCUGUUAUUAAGGAAGAACAAAUGUGUAAGUAACUAUGCACGUCUUGACGGUACCGAAUCAGAAAGCCACGGCUAACUACGUG
This 497-nucleotide ribosomal RNA is filed under the name uncultured bacterium. Its description in RNAcentral is "partial 16S ribosomal RNA". It matches the Rfam family "Bacterial small subunit ribosomal RNA", at positions 28 to 507 of the family's 1533-position model. The record is from RNAcentral.